Molecule: non-coding RNA, 29 nt
Filed under: Homo sapiens (human)
Lineage: Eukaryota; Metazoa; Chordata; Mammalia; Primates; Hominidae
Source: RNAcentral
UGGAUAUGUGCGGGUGCGUGUGAGCGUGU